Molecule: ribosomal RNA, 497 nt
Filed under: uncultured bacterium
Lineage: Bacteria
Description: partial 16S ribosomal RNA
Rfam family: Bacterial small subunit ribosomal RNA
Source: RNAcentral
GAUGAACGCUGGCGGUGUGCCUAAUACAUGCAAGUCGAGCGAACAGACGAGGAGCUUACUCCUCUGACGUUAGCGGCGGACGGGUGAGUAACACGUGGAUAACCUACCUAUAAGACUGGGAUAACUUCGGGAAACCGGAGCUAAUACCGGAUAACAUGUUGAACCGCAUGGUUCAACAGUGAAAGACGGUCUUGCUGUCACUUAUAGAUGGAUCCGCGUCGCAUUAGCUAGUUGGUAAGGUAACGGCUUACCAAGGCAACGAUGCGUAGCCGACCUGAGAGGGUGAUCGGCCACACUGGAACUGAGACACGGUCCAGACUCCUACGGGAGGCAGCAGUAGGGAAUCUUCCGCAAUGGGCGAAAGCCUGACGGAGCAACGCCGCGUGAGUGAAGAAGGUCUUCGGAUCGUAAAACUCUGUUAUUAGGGAGGAACAAAUGUGUAAGUAACUAUGCACGUCUUGACGGUACCUAAUCAGAAAGCCACGGCUAACUACGUG